This 234-nucleotide ribosomal RNA is filed under the name uncultured Oscillospiraceae bacterium. Its description in RNAcentral is "partial 16S ribosomal RNA". It matches the Rfam family "Bacterial small subunit ribosomal RNA", at positions 1148 to 1382 of the family's 1533-position model. Lineage: Bacteria; Bacillati; Bacillota; Clostridia; Eubacteriales; Oscillospiraceae. The record is from RNAcentral.
ACUGCCGGUGAUAAAUCGGAGGAAGGUGGGGACGACGUCAAAUCAUCAUGCCCUUUAUGUCCUGGGCUACACACGUACUACAAUGGCCGUUACAACGGGAAGCGAAGGAGCAAUCCGGAGCAAAUCCCUUAAAGGCGGUCCCAGUUCAGAUUGUGGGCUGAAACUCGCCCACAUGAAGGCGGAAUUGCUGUAAUUGCAGAUCAGCAUGCUGCAGUGAAUACGUUCCCGGGCCUU